AAGCUCGUAGUUGAAUUUCGGGAUCAAUAUACCGGUCGUGCCUCAGGUAUGAACUGGUCCUAUUGGUUUCUCCCUUCUGACGAACCAUGAUGUCAUUAAUUUGAUGUCGUGGAGAAUCAGGACUGUUACUUUGAAAAAAUUAGAGUGUUUAAAGCAGGCUAACGCUUGAAUACAUUAGCAUGGAAUAAUGAAAUAGGACGUUCGAUCCUAUUUUGUUGGUUUCUAGGAUCGACGUAAUGAUUAAUAGGGAUAGUUGGG
RNAcentral lists this ribosomal RNA (258 nucleotides) under uncultured Glomeromycotina. Its description in RNAcentral is "partial 18S ribosomal RNA". It matches the Rfam family "Eukaryotic small subunit ribosomal RNA", at positions 624 to 886 of the family's 1831-position model. Lineage: Eukaryota; Fungi; Glomeromycota. The record is from RNAcentral.